RNAcentral lists this ribosomal RNA (1167 nucleotides) under Triticum aestivum (bread wheat). RNAcentral describes it as "partial small subunit ribosomal RNA". Lineage: Eukaryota; Viridiplantae; Streptophyta; Magnoliopsida; Poales; Poaceae. The record is from RNAcentral.
AUGGGAUCGGAUGGCCGGAGCUGGAACGGGGUCACCGGCGGGGCCAGAGGUGACGGUGAGGAGAAGACGAGGACGGUGGCGGCUCCGGCGCCGGCGCUGGCGGAGGUGCCCACGUCGACCGCCUCGGUAGACAUCUCGCUGCCGCUUCCCGAGAUGACUCCCCGCAUCAUAGAUCUCUGCAAGGAGUUGGUGAAGGAGUGGUCGUCCUUGGACAGCUCGUGCUUCUCAAUCUCGACGGUGUCCGGCGGCAUCACCAACAUGUUGCUGAAGGUAUCUGUCAAGGAAGGCUCUGAUAGUGAGUCGUCUGUAACUGUUCGGCUGUAUGGCCCAAAUACAGACUUGGUGAUCGAUCGGGAGAGGGAAUUGCAGGCCAUACCAUAUCUCUCAGCUGCAGGGUUCGGGGCUCGGUUACUUGGAGUAUUUGAGAAUGGAGUGGUUUCGUCAUUCAUCCAUGCUAGGACACUAUCUCCUUCAGACAUGAAGGAGCCUAGAAUUGCCGCUGAAAUUGCCAAGCAGCUACAGAAAUUUCAUCAAGUAGAUAUACCGGGAUCAAAAGAACCACAGUUGUGGAAUGACGUAUUCAAGUUUUUGAAAAAAGCUUCUGUAUUGAAGUUUGAAGAUAAUGAGAAGCAGAAGAGGUAUGAGAUGAUCUCUUUUAGAGAAAUACAAGAUGAAGUUAAAGAACUUAAGGAUCUCUCCGAUCUUUUGCAUGCUCCUGUUGUGUUUGCACACAAUGACUUGCUAUCGGGUAAUCUGAUGCUGAAUGAUUUGGAAGAGAAGCUAUAUUUCAUUGAUUUUGAGUAUGGGUCAUAUAGCUACCGUGGCUUUGACAUCGCGAAUCAUUUCAAUGAGUACGCAGGCUUUGAGUGUGACUACAACUUGUACCCAGAUAAAGAUGUACAAUACCAUUUCUUCAGGAAUUAUCUAUCUGAUAGACCAAGUGAGGUCCAAGAGCAGGAUCUGGAUGCCCUUUAUACUGAAACGAACACUUUCAGGUUAGCAUCACACCUCUACUGGGCAUUGUGGGCACUCAUUCAGGCAAGGGUAUCCCCAAUCGAUUUCGAUUACCUUGGAUACUUCUUCCUACGGUACGGCGAAUACAAGAAACAGCGAGAGUUCUGUUUCUCCUUGGCGCAAGGCUUCCUUUCUUCACUGAGGAGUGGCUAG